UGGGGAAUAUUGCACAAUGGGGGAAACCCUGAUGCAGCGACGCCGCGUGAACGAAGAAGGUAUUCGUAUCGUAAAGUUCUGUCCUAUGGGAAGAUAAUGACAGUACCAUAGAAGAAAGCUCCGGCUAAAUACGUGCCAGCAGCCCCGGUAAUACGUAUGGAGCGAGCGUUGUCCGGAAUUAUUGGGCGUAAAGGGUACGCAGGCGGUUUAAUAAGUCGAAUGUUAAAGAUCGGGGCUCAACCCCGCAAAGCAUUGGAAACUGAUAAACUUGAGUAGUGGAGAGGAAAGUGGAAUUCCUAGUGUAGUGGUGAAAUACGUAGAUAUUAGGAGGAAUACCAGUAGCGAAGGCGACUUUCUGGACACAAACUGACGCUGAGGUACGAAAGCGUGGGGAGCAAACAGG
RNAcentral lists this ribosomal RNA (403 nucleotides) under bacterium. Its description in RNAcentral is "partial 16S ribosomal RNA". It matches the Rfam family "Bacterial small subunit ribosomal RNA", at positions 355 to 776 of the family's 1533-position model. The record is from RNAcentral.